CGAUACGGGACUCAUCCGAGGCCCCGUAAUCGGAAUGAGUACACUCUAAACCCUUUAACGAGGAUCAAUUGGAGGGCAAGUCUGGUGCCAGCAGCCGCGGUAACACCAGCUCCAAUAGCGUAUAUUAAAGUUGUUGCGGUUAAAAAGCUCGUAGUCGAAUUUGUGUCCCGCGCCGCUGGUUCAUCGCUCGCGGUGUUAACUGGCGUGUUCGCGGGACGUCCUGCCGGUGGGCUUAGCUCUCGGGCGGCCCAAUCUCAAUCCCACCGCGGUGCUCUUUACUGAGUGUCGAGGUGGGCCGGCACGUUUACUUUGAACAAAUUAGAGUGCUUAAAGCAGGCUAGAUAUUCGCCUGAAUACUGUGUGCAUGGAAUAAUGAAAUAGGACCUCGGUUCUAUUUUGUUGGUUUUCGGAACCCCGAGGUAAUGAUUAAUAGGAACGGAUGGGGGCAUUCGUAUUGCGACGUUAGAGGUGAAAUUCUUGGAUCGUCGCAAGACGGACAGAAGCGAAAGCAUUUGCCAAAAACGUUUUCAUUGAUCAAGAACGAAAGUUAGAGGUUCGAAGGCGAUCAGAUACCGCCCUAGUUCUAACCAUAAACGAUGCCAGCUAGCGAUCCGCCGACGUUCCUCCGAUGACUCGGCGGGCAGCUUCCGGGAAACCAAAGCUUUUGGGAUCCGGGGGAAGUAUGGUUGCAAAGCUGAAACUUAAAGGAAUUGACGGAAGGGCACCACCAGGAGUGGAGCCUGCGGCUUAAUUUGACUCAACACGGGAAACCUCACCAGGCCCGGACACCGGAAGGAUUGACAGAUUGAGAG
Molecule: ribosomal RNA, 812 nt
Filed under: Tragiscus dimidiatus
Lineage: Eukaryota; Metazoa; Arthropoda; Insecta; Coleoptera; Scarabaeidae
Description: SSU rRNA
Rfam family: Eukaryotic small subunit ribosomal RNA
Source: RNAcentral